Molecule: ribosomal RNA, 305 nt
Filed under: uncultured bacterium
Lineage: Bacteria
Description: bacterial SSU rRNA
Rfam family: Bacterial small subunit ribosomal RNA
Source: RNAcentral
UUUACCUACGGGAGGCAGCAGUGAGGAAUAUUGGUCAAUGGGCGGGAGCCUGAACCAGCCAAGUCGCGUGAAGGAAGAAGGUACUUAGUAUUGUAAACUUCUUUUGUCGGGGAACAAAGGCGGAGACGCGUCUCCGGACGAGUGUACCCGAAGAAAAAGCAUCGGCUAACUCCGUGCCAGCAGCCGCGGUAAUACGGAGGAUCCGAGCGUUAUCCGGAUUUAUUGGGUUUAAAGGGUGCGUAGGCGGUUUGAUAAGUUAGAGGUGAAAUGUCGGGGCUCAACCCCGAAACUGACUCUAAUACUGU